GGGCCCGUAGCUCAGUGGUUAGAGCAGGCGACUCAUAAUCGCUCGGUCACGGGUUCGAUCCCCGUCGGGCCCACCA
Molecule: transfer RNA, 76 nt
Filed under: bacterium
Lineage: Bacteria
Also listed under: 2 other names
Description: tRNA-Ile
Rfam family: tRNA
About the family: Transfer RNA (tRNA) molecules are approximately 80 nucleotides in length. Their secondary structure includes four short double-helical elements and three loops (D, anti-codon, and T loops).
Source: RNAcentral